GACUACUAGGGUAUCUAAGCCUGUUUGCUCCCCACGCUUUCGUGCCUGAGCGUCAGGACGGGCCCAGCAGACUGCCUUCGCCAUUGGCGUUCCUGUCGAUAUCUAAGCAUUUCACCGCUCCACCGACAGUUCCGUCUGCCCCUACCCGCCUCAAGACCUGUAGUUCGCCCUGCAAUUCCCCGGUUGAGCCGGGGGCUUUCACAAAACGCUUUCAGGUCCGCCUGCGCACCCUUUAAGCCCAGUGAUUCCGAUUAACGCUUGGGCCCCUCGUAUUACCGCGGCUGCUGGCACGAGGUUAGCCGGCCCUUCCUCUGGUCCCGGUCAUUGUUCCUAGGACCUGACAGUGGUUUACACGCCGAAGGCGCUUCAUCCCACACGCGGCAUUGCUCCGUCAGGCUUUCGCCCAUUGCGGAAUAUUCCUCACUGCAGCCCCCCGUAGG
This 440-nucleotide ribosomal RNA is filed under the name uncultured bacterium. RNAcentral's name for it is "partial 16S ribosomal RNA". The record is from RNAcentral.